UGCCUCAGUAGCGGCGAGUGAAGCGGCAAAAGCUCAAAUUUGAAAUCUGGCGUCUUUGGCGUCCGAGUUGUAAUUUGAAGAAGGUAUCUUUGGGCCCGGCUCUUGUCUAUGUUCCUUGGAACAGGACGUCACAGAGGGUGAGAAUCCCGUGCGAUGAGAUGACCCGGGUCUGUGUAAAGUUCCUUCGACGAGUCGAGUUGUUUGGGAAUGCAGCUCUAAGUGGGUGGUAAAUUCCAUCUAAAGCUAAAUAUUGGCGAGAGACCGAUAGCGAACAAGUACAGUGAUGGAAAGAUGAAAAGAACUUUGAAAAGAGAGUGAAAAAGUACGUGAAAUUGUUGAAAGGGAAGGGCUUGAGAUCAGACUUGGUAUUUUGCAUGCUGCUCUCUCGGGGGCGGCCGCUGCGGUUUACCGGGCCAGCAUCGGUUUGGAGCGGCAGGAUAAUGGCGGAGGAAUGUGGCACGGCUUCUGCUGUGUGUUAUAGCCUCUGACGAUACUGCCAGCCUAGACCGAGGACUGCGGUUUUUACCUAGGAUGUUGGCAUAAUGAUCUUAAGUCGCCCGUCUUGAAACACGGACCAAGGAGUCUAACGUCUAUGCGAGUGUUUGGGUGUAAAACCCGUACGCGUAAUGAAAGUGAACGAAGGUGGGGGCCCAUUAGGGUGCACCAUCGACCGAUCCUGAUGUGUUCGGAUGGAUUUGAGUAAGAGCAUAGCUGUUGGGACCCGAAAGAUGGUGAACUAUGCCUGAAUAGGGUGAAGCCAGAGGAAACUCUGGUGGAGGCUCGUAGCGGUUCUGACGUGCAAAUCGAUCGUCGAAUUUGGGUAUA
RNAcentral lists this ribosomal RNA (825 nucleotides) under Candida albicans. RNAcentral's name for it is "LSU rRNA". It matches the Rfam family "Eukaryotic large subunit ribosomal RNA", at positions 76 to 919 of the family's 3401-position model. Lineage: Eukaryota; Fungi; Ascomycota; Pichiomycetes; Serinales; Debaryomycetaceae. The record is from RNAcentral.